UACGUAGGGCGCAAGCGUUGUCCGGAAUUAUUGGGCGUAAAGAGCUCGUAGGCGGCUUGUCACGUCGGAUGUGAAAGCCCGGGGCUUAACCCCGGGUCUGCAUUCGAUACGGGCAGGCUAGAGUUCGGUAGGGGAGAUCGGAAUUCCUGGUGUAGCGGUGAAAUGCGCAGAUAUCAGGAGGAACACCAGUAGCGAAGGCAGCUCGCUGGGACGGUACUGACGCUAAGGCGCGAAAGCGUGGGGAGCGAACAGG
This 253-nucleotide ribosomal RNA is filed under the name uncultured bacterium. RNAcentral's name for it is "partial 16S ribosomal RNA". It matches the Rfam family "Bacterial small subunit ribosomal RNA", at positions 524 to 776 of the family's 1533-position model. The record is from RNAcentral.